RNAcentral lists this long non-coding RNA (6326 nucleotides) under Homo sapiens (human). RNAcentral describes it as "HSALNT0311710". Lineage: Eukaryota; Metazoa; Chordata; Mammalia; Primates; Hominidae. The record is from RNAcentral.
GUGGCUACCAAGGUCAGGCAACAGGUGUCCAGUUGUUCCCUCUCCUGUCUACGAAUCUGAGGACCUCCCCAGGAUCAGAGCUCUGGGCCUGAUACACGGCCGGGGUUCCUACGGGUUUGUGAGUGGGGGUGGAAGAUCUGCAGAGGCACUUAGGGCUGAACUCCUUUGAAUGGGAGCCAAUCGGUGCAGGGGCUGGAGGAGCGAGUCCCCCAAAGUAGUUUUAUUUAUCUAUUUAGAGACAAGGUCUCACUCUUUCGGAGUGCAGUGGUGAUCACAGCUCACCGUAGCCUCGAACUCCCCAGGCGAUUCUCUCACCUCAGCCUCCCGAGUAGCUGGGACUACGGGUACAUGUCAUCACACUUGGCUAAUUUUUGCAUUUUUUAUAGAGACAGGGUCUCACCAUGUAGGCCAGAUUAGUCUUGAACUCCUGGGCUCAAGCAAUCCGCCCAUCUUGGCCUCCCAAAGUGCUGGGAUUAUAGGUGUGAGCCACCGCGCCCGGCAACCCAGAAGUGGUUUUGACAGCACCAGCGCUUUCUGUGUCCACAAUCUAGUGAGUAGAGGGCACAAAACCUGACACCACGGAGGCAGACAGGCAGGGGCUCUGCCGGGGAAGGGUGUUGGAGUCCCAAAGGAGGCGUCUGAGUCACCUUCGCAACCUGGGACGCCUUCUUGCAUAAGAUGCCUGAGCAGUGCCUUGAAUGACCAAGGGGAGAUCCGCAUCUGCAAAGGAAGGGCAGGGAGGGAUAGGGAUUGGGGGUGGGCAUCCUAGGUCUUGGAGACUGUGUGGGCAAAUGUGCAGAGACAUAAAGGGACUAUGGCUGAGGGAAAUCAAGCCCUGCCCUCUCACCAAUAGGGCUGGCGCUGGUCCCAGCUAACACUCCUUUUGGAGAGCAAAGCUCCUCACUUCUGAGUAGUGAGAUUGAUUGCGGAUCACUCUCCAUGUUGCUGCCUGCUGUGUGUCAUCCCACUGUCAUCCUCCCUUUGUGGCUGUUCUGUGGAGCCCCUCUCCCUCAAUCUGCACUCACCUCUAUGCCCCAGCCCCAUUGGCAGCUCCUAAUGCACUCCCGGUAAAAAAAAAAAAACAAAAACCAGAUGUUAGUGAUAGUGGUGGUAGUUCUUCUCUCCACCUCCAAAUCUUGCCCUUGCCUCCUAAUAAGACCCCUAUGUGGUUUAACCUCAUUUUUUUUUUUUUUUUUUUUUUUUGAGAUGGAGUUUCACUCUGUCACCCAGGCUGGAGUGAAGUGGUGUGAUGGGGCUUCACCAUGUGAUGGGGCUUCACCAUGUUGGCCAGGCUGGUAUCAAACUCCUGACCUCUAGUGAUCUGCCCGCCUCAGCCUCCCAAAGUGCUGGGAUUACCGGCAUGAGGCACCGUGCCCAGCCUAUCCUCCUUCUCUUAUCAGCUCCCAACUAGAGGUCCACCCAGGACCCAGAGACCUGGAUUUGAGGCUGCUGGGCGGCAGAUGGAGCGAUCAGAAGACCAGGAGACGGGAGCUGGAGUGCAGUGGCUGUUCACAAGCGUGAAAGCAAAGAUUAAAAAAUUUGUUUUUAUAUUAAAAAAGUUUUUAGAGAUGGGGGUCUCACUUUGUGGCCCAGCCUGCAGUGCAGUGGCGCGAUCAUAGCUCCCUGCUGCCUCGACUUCCUAGGCUCAAGGGACCCUCCUGUCUUGGCCUCUGAGUAGCUGAGACUACAGGUAUGCUCCACCACACCCGGCUAAUUUCUUUACUUUUUUGUAGGGACAGGGUCUCAUCAUUUUGCCCAGGCUGGUCUGGAACUCUUGAGCUCAAGUGAUCCUCCUGCCUUGGCCUCCCAAAGUGCUGGGAUUACAGGCAUGAGCCACCACAGCCAGUCAAGAUUUUUUAACAGGACAGGACUGUCUAACAGGAUUGUCUAAUAGGACAUAAAAUACACUAACUAUAAAGGAAAGUAUUGAUAAAUUGGAUUACAUAAUGAUUGAGAACCUUCUUUUAUCAAAAGACAUUAAAAGUGGGAGAAGAUACUCUAAGAUAGAACAUCCAUGGACUCAUAUCCUGAAUACAUACUACAAAUCAAUAAAAUAUACACAAACAGAUAAAUGGGGCAAGAGAUUCGAAUAGUUACUUCACAAAAGAGAACAUUCAAAUAAUAUUGAAAAGGUGCUCAACCUCUUUAGUCAUCAGGGAAAUGCAAAUUGAAAAAAAUAAAUACUGGCUAGGUGAGGCGACUCACAUCUGUAAUCCCAGCACCUUGGGAGGCUGAGAUGGACAGAUCACUUGAGGCCAGGAGUUUGAGACCAGCCUGGCCAGCAUGGCAAAACCCUGUCUUUACUCAAAGCACAAAAGUUAGCCGGGCAUGUUGGCCCACGCCUGUGGUCCCAGCUACUUGGGAGGCUGAGGCAUGAGAAUCGCUUGAACCCAGGAGGAGGAGGAUGCAGUGAGCUGAGAAUGCACCACUGGACUCCAUCCUGGGCAACAGAACAAGACUUUACCUCCCAAAAAAAAGGUGGAGAGGGGAGGACUACUGCACUCUACCAGGAUAGCGAAAAUAAAAAUGACUUGACAAUACCAAGUUUUGGGAAAGAUAGAAGCUUGAACUGUCUGACACUACUGAAGGAGCAUACAUUGGUACAACUACUUUGGAAACCUAUUUGGCAGUAUCUGCCUGUGACCGUGAAAUUCCACUCUUUAUUUGGGAAUAUACCCUCCUAAAAUAAUGCGUAUGAGCAACAUGAAGACAUGUACAACAGUGCUCCUGGCAGCAGUAUUUGCAACAGACAAAAAUUGGAAACAACUGAAAGGUCAUCAACAGUGGAUGGAUACGCUGGGUGUGGUGGCUCAUGCCUGUAAUCCCAGCACUUUGGGAGGCCAAGGAGGGUGGAUCACCCGAAGUCAGGAGUUUAAGACCAGCCUGGCCAACAAGGAGAAACCUUGUCUCUACUAAAAAUACAAAAAUUAGCUGGGUGUGGUGGCGCACGCCUGUAAUCCCAGCUACUCAGGAGGCUGAGACAGAAUUACUUGACCCCUCAUCCUGGGGUUGGCCUUAUGCAUGUGCAGCUUAUGGCUCAGCACAUAUGCCAAAGACACGGUGCCAGCACUUUUUUUUUUUUUUUUGAGUUGGGGUCUCACUCUCACCCAGGCUGGAGUGCAGUGGUGCAAUUGCUCCUGAGCAUAAGUGAUUCUUCCACCUCAGCCUCCCGAGUAGCUAGGACUACAGGUGUGGGCCACCACGCCCAGCUAAUUUUUGUAUUUUUUGUAGGGAUGGGGUCUUCCUAUGCUGUCCAGGUUGGUCUCAAACUCCUGGGCUCAAGCGAUUUUCCCUCUACGGCCUCCCAAAGUGCUAGGAUUACAGGUGUGAGCCACCUGCACACUUACACACCCAUUCCUAGCUGCAGCUUCAGAAACUUCUGACCCAGGAAGUCAGCCCAAACCCCCUCACUGUCCCCCAAAAUUUGAGUUCUUCUCAACUCUACCCAAACACUCCCCUUUCUUGGGGUGGCUUAAUGCUCUGUCUCAUUGCCCUUCCUACUGCCUACCCACAUAUCACAUCUACCAACCUUCCACGCAGCCAUAGACGUGUUCUAUCAAAGACAGUUCCCUCCCCAAGAGGACUUCUCUGACUAAUCAUAAUCUGCCUUUGGUUGUAAUUUUGUGUUGUGAGGCCACCACAAGGGUGUUUGCUGAAGAGGUCCUGGAGUCCCCUCAGAGCACGCUUGCUACCAGGAGUCAGCAUGUAUGUAACUUCAUCAGCUGGGGCUUCUGCUUCUCUUACAAACAGGUGCCAGGGCCCACCUUGGGCACUCCUGCAGAAGUGAGCAGAGGCUUCUGCCAUGGGGCCAUACCUUGUUUGACCUAGGUGCCAGCACUGGGACAGAUGGCACAGCACAGUCCUGCCGUUCCCACAGGGUUUGUGUGUGCAUCAUGACAGGAAACACAGCAAGUCACAAAGGCUGUCCGAUGUCCCUGCCUCAGCUUCCUGAGGACCUGUGCUUUUUACUGAAAUACACUAUCUCAUAAGAAUACUUCCCUGCCUUCCGCACCCCAGUGAGAAAGGAGUUGUGACUGGAAGUCAGUGUCAUUGACUUUGGAUAUGAAAAGGAGGCAGAAUGUCUCCAGGGUUAAAAGUAGUAACCAGGCCAGGCGUGGUGGCUUAUGCGUGUAAUCCCAGCAUUUUGGGAGGCGGAGGUGAGUGGGUCACCUGAGGUCAGGAGUUCAAGACCAGCCGGGCCAACAUGGCGAAAUCCCAUCUGUACUGAAAAUACAGGAAUUAGCCGGGUGUGGUGGCAGGCGCCUGUAAUACCAGCUACUGGGGAGGCUGAGGCAGGAAGAAUUGCUUGAACCCAGGAGGUUAAGGGUUGCAGUGAGCCAAGAUCACACCACUGCACUCCAGCCUGGGUGACAGAACACGAUUCCAUCUGAAAAAAAAAAAAAAAAAAAAAAGCGGGGGCUGGGCGCGGUGGCUCACACCUGUAAUCCCAGCACUUUGGGAGCCUGAGACAGGUGGAUCGUCUGAGAUCAGGAGUUCGAGACCAGCCUGACCAACAUGGUGAAACCCCGUCUCUACUAAAAAUACAAAAAUUAGCUGGAUGUGGUGGUGGGCACCUGUAAUCCCAGCUAUUCGGGAAGCUGAGGCAGAGGAAUCAUCGCUUGAACCUGGGAGGUAGAGGUUGCAGUGAGCCGAGAUCACACCAUUGCAUUCCAGCCUGGGUGACAAGAGCAAAACUCCGUCUCAAAAAGAAAAAAAAAAAAAGUUAGUAACCAGGUUGUGUCCCACAGAGCUUUACUGGGGGCCAAACACUGUCAACCCCUCCUCAGGUCCCAGUGAGUUUGUGCACCUGGCCUUCUGACAGUAAGCGGUGAGCAGGGCAUCCCCCACCAGGACCCCAUACUUUCCUCCCAUGGGUUUCCUAUGGAAUGUUGCUGCUUCAACUUCUGAGAGCCUCUUGCUGGGGGGCCCCAUCCCUAGCCCUUGCCUCCCUGUGCUGCUUUACCUUCUUUUUGGGAGGAUAACUGCCCUCUGUUUUCAGCACCCCAAUAAGAAAGAAAAAGUCAUGACCAGAAGUCAGUGUCAGUGAUUGCUGAUGUGUGGAAACAUCUGAUGAAUGAAGAGUUUGGGUAAAAAAUAAAGGGAACUGAUGAAAACCACUUGUGUGUGAAGCCUAUAUAGUGGUGUGUGCCUGUAGUCCCAGCUACUCGGGAAGCUGAAGUGGGAGGACUGCUUGAGCACAGGAGUUGGACAUCAGCCUUGAAAAGAUAGUGAGACUCAAUCUAGAAAACAGAAACAACACUUCUGACUGGUGUCUGCCUGUGGGUUUCUGACUCUGCUCCCAAACUUAUGGUGAGAACUUCUUUGCUAACUUGAGAGUCUGCAAGAGUGAAGUUUUUGCCAAAUUUUGGCCCUUAGUUCCUCUAAAACACUAAUGGAAACGUAACCCCAUGCUUGUUAAGACCCUCCUUCUGCCCUACCAUGAUUACCAGAUCUCUGCUGAGGUUGCAAGAUGAGGUGAUCUUGCUGGAAACAAGGACAAAUGGGGGAAGAAAAUAGGGCUGGACAGGCCCAAGCAUUCAGAGGCCAGGGCUGGGGGUAGGUAGGGGCCUGCUUCAUUUGAGAACAACUAUGAAGGACAAUAGGGUUUCAACAGGGGAGAGAGUAGCGGUAUUCAAAGCAAAGCAAAAGAUGUAAGUGAAAGAUGUAAGCGGGCCGGUGCGAUGGGUCACGCCUAUAAUCCCCGUACUUUGGGAGGCCAAGGCAGGAGGAUCACCGGAACUGAGGUGUUUGAGACCUGCUUGAGCAACAUAGUAGGACCCUGUCUCUACCAAAAAAAAAAAAAAAAAUUAAAUUAGCUGGGCAUGGUGGCUACUGUAGUUUCAGCUACUCAGGAGGCUGAGGCAGGAGGAUCACUUGAGCCUGGGAGGUCAAGGCUACAGUGAGCCUGGGUAACAGAGUGAGACUGUCUCAAAAAAAAAAAAAAGGAGAAAAAGAAAGAUGUAAGUGUGUAAGUGAAGCCUGGAGAUGCAGACACCUGCGAAUGGGCUGCUGAGGGGCACUUGGCUAUGGCUGGGGCUCAGGAAAAGUGGAGCUCAGGGAAGAGAGGCUAGAACAGGGCUCAAAGGGCCUUGAAGGCCAGGCCUGUCAGGGUCCAUCACCUCCUCAGGCUGGAGAAGUCAGUGCAAGCUGCAGUGAUGGGGUCCUGAGGCCCCAGUACUUCUGCCCAUCCUCUCCCACUGUCUCCCAAGAUCAUACAGGGAAGCCUGUUUCCAGAUGCCUGUGAUUUAUUUCCAAAGGAGAGCUACAGCACAUAGGAAAAUACACAUGGCUUUUCAGUCUACAUUUUUACAGAGAAAAGAGAUUCG